This 467-nucleotide ribosomal RNA is filed under the name uncultured bacterium. RNAcentral describes it as "partial 16S ribosomal RNA". It matches the Rfam family "Bacterial small subunit ribosomal RNA", at positions 28 to 507 of the family's 1533-position model. The record is from RNAcentral.
GACGAACGCUGGCGGCGUGCUUAACACAUGCCAGUCGAACGGAAAGGCCCUGCUUUUGUGGGGUGCUCGAGUGGCGAACGGGUGAGUAACACGUGAGUAACCUGCCCUUGACUUUGGGAUAACUUCAGGAAACUGGGGCUAAUACCGGAUAGGAGCUCCUGCUGCAUGGUGGGGUUGGAAAGUUUCGGCGGUUGGGGAUGGACUCGCGGCUUAUCAGCUUGUUGGUGGGGUAGUGGCUUACCAAGGCUUUGACGGGUAGCCGGCCUGAGAGGGUGACCGGCCACAUUGGGACUGAGAUACGGCCCAGACUCCUACGGGAGGCAGCAGUGGGGAAUAUUGCACAAUGGGCGGAAGCCUGAUGCAGCAACGCCGCGUGCGGGAUGACGGCCUUCGGGUUGUAAACCGCUUUCGCCUGUGACGAAGCGUGAGUGACGGUAAUGGGUAAAGAAGCACCGGCUAACUACGUG